This 253-nucleotide ribosomal RNA is filed under the name uncultured bacterium. RNAcentral describes it as "partial 16S ribosomal RNA". It matches the Rfam family "Bacterial small subunit ribosomal RNA", at positions 524 to 776 of the family's 1533-position model. The record is from RNAcentral.
UACGAAGGGUGCAAGCGUUACUCGGAAUUACUGGGCGUAAAGGGUGCGUAGGUGGUCGUUUAAGUCCGUUGUGAAAUCCCUGGGCUCAACCUGGGAAUGGCAGUGGAUACUGGACGGCUAGAAUGCGGUAGAGGGUAGUGGAAUUCCCGGUGUAGCAGUGAAAUGCGUAGAGAUCGGGAGGAACACCAGUGGCGAAAGCGGCUUCCUGGACCAGUACCGACGUUCAGGCACGAAAGCGUGGGGAGCAAACAGG